This 253-nucleotide ribosomal RNA is filed under the name uncultured bacterium. RNAcentral's name for it is "partial 16S ribosomal RNA". It matches the Rfam family "Bacterial small subunit ribosomal RNA", at positions 524 to 776 of the family's 1533-position model. The record is from RNAcentral.
UACAGAGGUCCCAAGCGUUGUUCGGAUUCACUGGGCGUAAAGGGUGCGUAGGUUGCCGGAAUAGUCUGAUGUGAAAGCUCCGAGCCUAACUCGGAAAUUGCAUUGGAUACUUUUCGGCUAGAGGGUUGGAGGGGAGACUAGAAUUCUCGGUGUAGCAGUGAAAUGCGUAGAUAUCGAGAGGAAUACCAGUGGCGAAGGCGAGUCUCUGGAAAACACCUGACACUGAGGCACGAAAGCUAGGGGAUCAAACAGG